This 2894-nucleotide long non-coding RNA is filed under the name Marmota monax (woodchuck). Lineage: Eukaryota; Metazoa; Chordata; Mammalia; Rodentia; Sciuridae. The record is from RNAcentral.
CGCAUUUAAGUUUUCAUGCUUUUUUAUGCCUUGAUAGUACAUUUCUUAAAAAUAUUCCAUUGUCUUAAUGUAUCACAGUUUAUGACCUUUUACUUUUAUUUCUAGUUCCAAUUGGUAGGACAGAUUUUAAUGUUCUUAGGAAAGUAAAUGGAUUUCUUCAUAUGAUCUAUCAAAUAAAAUGUAGCAACCCAAUCUGAAAUCAAUUUCACCUAGGUAAUAUGGGGUUUGUUUUACAUUUGGAAUGAAGAUUUAUGAAGAAUAUCACAUUUUCUAAUUUAUGUUAACCAAUAUUUUUCUUUUCUCUCUUUUGGAAUCUAAACAGAAAUUUCUGAAGUUUAUGCAGAUCUGCACCCAAAUUUAGCAACUCUAUAGUGUUUUCCUUUGUUAAGCAAUAAUUUAAACAUAUGGUGACAAAAAUGCUAAUUGUUAUUACUAAGGAAAGAAAACCAUCUUCUGUUACUAGUUUAUAUGACUUUACCUUUAUCACUUCUGCCAACAGAAAGGAAGUUUUGCAAUAAUGCCCUGUCAUAGUCAAUUGCACAAAUUAAGAGUUAUUUGUAAGCAUCCAAAUCACACAGCAGCUCUGAUUUUUUUAAUGGAAGGAUGACCCAUGGUAAUGCAGAGGCUGAAUGGACACGUAAUUGGGUAUUGGAAUGAUAGCACUGAUAAUCACACUGGGUGAACGAGGAGGCCUGAUUGGUGAUCAAUAUCUGAUGAAUGUUUUGAGAUUUUUUUUUCCCUCUAUGCAUCAACUGCCCUUUGCUUUGUAGCUGCAGGAUCUUGUGGAACCUGGAUUUGUUAAUAAAUAAAUAAACCUGGUUAUAUAUAUGACCAGGUGCUGAUAGAAAAAACACUUUGCAGAGUUUUUGAAGACUUACAAGGUUUUUGGAGACUGCAAGCUAUUUUAUUUUUAUAUUAAGGUCAGAUCCACUUUUUAUGUUGCUAUAUCAAAGUAAUUGACACUUUUAGAUCUCUGCCAGUAAUUUGUCUGACUGCAAGUUACAGUUGGAAUGAUCUUUAGUCAUUCUGCCUCUGAGAAAAUAAAAAUAAAGUAUUAGGUUCUAUUUUUGUUGUUCAAAACUGACCACACAACAAAUUGCAAAUCUUUUCAGGUGGUUUGCCAAUCUUUGCGUUGAAUGCAGAUCUUUCUUUAGAACAAUUUAACUUCAAUUACAGGGAAAGUAUCAAAAUUGAAUGACUUUUUUUUUCUACCCCACCAUGGGAUUUGAAUACAGUACACAGAAAAGUUCUUACACACACACACACACACACACACAUACACACACACAAGAAAAAGGUCAUUAAAUGUCUGUUAUCAUUUUCUUUUGAAGACUCAGGCUUAUCUCUUACUUCCCAAGUGACUUUCCUUACCCACAAUCAUUUUUUUCUUAAAUAUCCUUUUAUUUUCUCCUAGAAAAAUAGUAAAAUUUUAAAACAUCAUUUUAAAGGUACAUCCAAGAUUUCAUAGCGAUAUUUUAUUUGUAUUCAUAGUGCAAGAUAAAUCUGAUUCUCAAUUUUUUUCUUCGUCUUCAGAUGGCAUUGGAAACAGUUGUUCACAUUCACACAUUUAUGUUUCACCAUAUGCAUACUGUGUGCAGCUCUGUUGUUUUAAAAUAUUUUUUGGUUUUUCUUUAUAUCUCAACUUUUGAUGGGUGUCCUUGAAGAACUUGCAUGAAAAAAUGUAAAUGUGAAUGAUUCAUUCAUUUUGAACAUAUGUAACUAUUUUAGGAGAUUUUCAGGAGAUUUUACCCUUAUGUGGAACACAGUGUUCUUAGCAGGGAAUGGGCUUUAUGUUACUAUUCUGCUCACAGCUGGAUGUUGCAGAUGUAUUGAGGUUGUGAACCUGUGCUUUUUGUAUAUCGUGUAUAUCAUGUUUACUUUUUAAGUACAUUCCCUGUAUGUACUGUGCUGUCCUGAGUUUUUGGUGGUUGUCAAUAAUGAUCAAUAGUUUUAUGUGUUUCACUUUUGGGGAGAAUUUACUAUAACAUGGUUUAACGUGAUAUCAGGUCUUCCUCUAGAUUUCCAGAUCACUAAAAGAACCCCUCCACAAACUGAUAGUCCAAGGCUAUAUACUGUUGUAGUGGAGGGGUCACCCUAAACCUCUGCCUGUGUUUCAUAGGCAUUUUCCGAACUGGCCACUAUUAUAUUUCCUUCUCUAAAGUUUUCCAGCAGAAAGUCCCUAGGUAGUCCAAUUGUUCAAGAGAGAGGGCACUCCCCUGAAGUGUUGGAUCUUCAUUUUAGAAACUUCUGAAAUUCUUCAGAACAUUCCACACAGGUGUCCUUGUGUUUCUCCUAGCGUGACUUCAUUGACUUUGGUGUGUCUCAUUGAAGAAGCAUGAAUGUAUCUCUGGCUGUUUCCAGAAGGGGCAGCUAUAGAAUGUAAUGACCCCUUCCACUUCUAAGUUUACUUCUAUCAAUGAUUAGUUAGUGUAAAGGAAAAGGCUGGGACAUUUUUUUAAUUGUUAAACUUUAGAACACCUUUUUACCUUUUGUAAUGUUCAGGAUUUCAUAACAAUGGUUGUAAUGUAUUACUGUUCCACUGUUCUGUCUUGUUUCAGCUAGGCAAAUCAGUGAAAUAUUUAACUCUUGUGUUAGAAACACCCUUUGAAAAUGUUAGAAAAUAUAACAUUGUUUACCUGUGAUAAAGAAUAAGUUCAUGAUGAGAAGAAUUAUACUGUUUUUCUUGUACAAAUAAUGCUUAAGGCAGAUGUUCAGUCUCAGAGUGAUGUUGAAAAGCAUAUUUUAUGCUGCCUAAAAACUAUUUCUGUAUUAUAUAUUUAAAUGCAUGAGGAUAAAUUCUAAUUGCUUUUUGUUUAAAACAGAACAUAGAAGAAGCAUUAGCCCCAGUUUGUACAAAAUGUCUGCUGCAACUGAAUUCAUGAUAGUUCAAAACU